CAUUUAUUGAAGAGACCACCUGUUCCUCCUGGAUGGAGAUGGUUUGACCAUAUGGAUAAGAGCUAAUGUCAGGGCGCUCUUUUCUAUUGUUCUGUCUGUCUUUACACCAACGCCACACUGUUCUGACUACUGUAUCUUUGUAGUGAAUUUUGAAUCAGGAAAUGUGAAGCUUCCAAGUUUGUUCUCUUUCAAAAUUAUUUUGGCCACUUAAGACUCAGUGAUGGCUUUUUAAUGCAGGAGCACAAGGAACUGAUCACAGCAGAAAAAGGUACAAAAGCUUGAAUUUUAGGAUUGAAUGGAACAAAAGCCAUUUAUCCAGCCUCUGCUUAAGCACAUUUGGUGCUGGUAAGCUCACUAUUUCACAGACAGGUAGACUCUUCAUACUAACCUUGACCUGUUUUCCUGGCAGGUUUGCCCAGUGACCUUGAUGCUGCUGUCUAGAGUUAUACUCAGAGCAAGGAUGGAUGCCAAGGGCCAGCCAUCUAACUAGCCAUUCUCUUGGGCAGGUUCUUCAAGUUUCUCAUGGGAAUCCAAGUCUGCUUCUCCCUUUCAUCUUCCUAAGGAAGCCCUGCAUUUAGGCUCAAGUGCAUUGAGGUUGUGAGUGCCCGGCUUCAUGCUGAAGCUCUGCUGCUAUUUCUAGCCACGUGACUUUGGACUAAAAAGGUAACACCCCCCCCAACCCAUUUCCUUACCUAAAAGGUGGGGGUCAUAACAGACCUUGGUUCAUUGGGUUGCAGUCCUGAUGAGGGAGUACCUGAGUUCUGUUAGGAGCAGCAGCAGUGCUCGGCUGUG
Molecule: long non-coding RNA, 792 nt
Filed under: Chinchilla lanigera (long-tailed chinchilla)
Lineage: Eukaryota; Metazoa; Chordata; Mammalia; Rodentia; Chinchillidae
Description: lncRNA (ENSCLAG00000022767.1)
Source: RNAcentral